Pygocentrus nattereri (red-bellied piranha) is the source of this 1879-nucleotide long non-coding RNA. The record is from Ensembl. Lineage: Eukaryota; Metazoa; Chordata; Actinopteri; Characiformes; Serrasalmidae.
AGACAGUAGUCACAGCGUAGUGUACCAUAUUAAGGCAUUGUUUAGUUACUAUUUAUGAAGAUACAGUUGAAAUAGGGCCACCUGGCCAUUACAUAGCUUGCUGUACCACAAGAAGUUCACACAGCUCCUGCAUAGAUCAACAAGCAUGCCAUAUAGCUUAGGAAAGGUCAUGCUCAUGUUCUGUUCCUGUGCUCCUAAGGCAAAAUUAAACUCUGAGUAUUUAUGAAGAGAAAAAACUCAUUUAAUUUGACGUAUAAUGUGCUGUAGAGAACACUGCAAUAACCACAGCAGCUCCUGGUGGUAAGAUCAGGACAGGCUUGUUUUCUGAACAUCCUACAUUUUUAUUCUUUAUUCUAAACUAAAUCUCUUGCAUUUACAUGACUGAAGUCAAGCUGAAAUUCAUAUUCUGAAAUAAACUCUCUGUGUAUGUUCUCAGUGAGCCUGACAGGAACUUGUAUCUGUGAAGACUGUGAGGUGUUUUUGUCUCUGAAUGAUAUACAGUGGGAGGUGUGAAAGUCUUUGGAUCAGGCACAAGACUUUAUGUGGAAGCUGCUGCUCCAGUGGGACCUAAGCUGUCAGCGUACUCAGUUCUCAAACCAAACAAUGGAAAGGGCAUACUGAUGUGUCAGGCCAGAGACAUGGUUCCAAACCUGGUGAGGUUCACAUGGAAGGAUCAAAGUGACACAGAGCUGACGCUGUCAGAGACAUAUGACCUACUGGAGCAGAAAGACGAUGAGGAGGCCAGAGUGACCAGCAUGCUCAUCAUAGACCAACAGAAAGCAAGUUCUACUUCUUACACCUGCUCUGUCCAACAUGAGGAUAAGCACGAUAAAAUCAAAAUCACAGCAGAACCUUUGAAGGGCUCUGAUUCUGACCCUGUCCAACCCUGCCCGCCCCAACAAGGUAAAAAGAAAAAAAAAACAGCUUAUAUAAUAAUAUAUAUUUGGAAAACACAAUGUUUUGUUGUAAAAUCAUGUUCAUUUAUAUUUACAGUAUAAUUCAGUAUAAAGCUAACACUCUGAACACAGGAAGAGGUUUAGACAUUUAGCAUGAGGACAAAGCAAAAUGCAUCCUCUAUAGAGAACACACUUGUGCACAUUUUAAAGCACAAUUACUGUUCAUUUACUGAAUUUGACAUGAUGGGGAAAAUGUAAAAUGUUUUCCAGUAUGUUACACUAUGUUAAAAUAAAACUUGUGCAAUAAAAUUUUGCAAAAAAAAUGUCACAUUUAAGUGUGUUCUCUAUACAGGAUAUGUCAACUCAUUUUAACUUGGAAAAUCAGCAAAACAAAUAAUUUGACCCGGGGUGUUUAAACUUUUGCAUACGACUUCUUUAUGUCUUUGGCAGGUUCGUUGGAGCUGGUGCACAGACUGUAUCUGUUCAAUCUCAUGUACGUGUCUCUGCUGGUGAAGAACGUGCUGUAUUUCUGUGCUGUGGGGAUCUUACUGUACAAGAGUAGAGUUGAGAACAACAAAACUUUCAGCAAAACCAGUCCAACAUCAAACCAGGACAAAUGAAGAGUUUCAGAUUGUCACAUAUAUUUCCUUUUUUUAUUGUUUUUCUUAUUUCACUUGCUAGACAGAGAGUUAAUUCUGUUAAUAACAUACUUCAACCAUCUCUUAUACAUUUACACACACCUGCAAUUUACCUUUGAUUGCAUUUAUCAUGUUUUAACUUGCUACUUUUAAAAUAUCACUUAUCAUACAGGAAUAGUUUUGCAUUGUUUUAGGAAAGUGUUAAUGUCUGAUACUGCAGUUUAAAGCAGUCUAAAUAAGUCUAAUAAUUUCUUAUUGGUAUCUGUAAUAAAGUGUCUGUUGGAUUUUUUUUCUUAUUUUUUUUUAUUGGACUUAAAAUAAAUCAAAUAAAACUCUUAUUUCAGC